This is a non-coding RNA of Callithrix jacchus (white-tufted-ear marmoset), 97 nucleotides long. The record is from Rfam. Lineage: Eukaryota; Metazoa; Chordata; Mammalia; Primates; Cebidae.
GUGCUCACUUCGGCAGCACAUAUACUAAAACUGGAACGAUACAGAGAAGAUUAGCAUGGCUCUUGCGCAAGGAUGACACGUCAAAAUUUUUUUUUUU